Non-coding RNA from Mangrovibacter sp. MFB070, 257 nucleotides. It matches the Rfam family "SgrS RNA". Rfam says of the family: In sugar transport-related sRNA (SgrS) is induced under conditions of glucose phosphate stress in E.coli. This small RNA acts to negatively regulate the translation and stability of the ptsG mRNA, which encodes the major glucose transporter in E. coli. The record is from Rfam. NCBI's taxonomy places the organism in Bacteria, Pseudomonadati, Pseudomonadota, Gammaproteobacteria, Enterobacterales, Enterobacteriaceae.
GAUGAAAGCGAGGUUAACUUAUGAAGCGUUCCUUUGCAGAGCAGUUUUAUUUGGCUUUUUUUACUGCAACACGGCGUGUUUCUGGUUCAUGGCUGGCCUGCCCUGGCCCUCAACAACGUGUGCAGAUGCUUGAUGAACUCAUGCAGUGGCACUGUUCAUAUCCUUGUGCUUUGCACAGACAUCAUCGUUCUCAUCAAGUGUGACUGAGUAUUGGUGCUUUUAACCAACCAGCGGCAAUCGUGCUGCUGGUUUUUUUC